RNAcentral lists this ribosomal RNA (465 nucleotides) under uncultured bacterium. Its description in RNAcentral is "partial 16S ribosomal RNA". It matches the Rfam family "Bacterial small subunit ribosomal RNA", at positions 338 to 795 of the family's 1533-position model. The record is from RNAcentral.
CCUACGAGCGGCAGCAGUAGGGAAUCUUCCACAAUGGGCGAAAGCCUGAUGGAGCAACGCCGCGUGGGUGAAGAAGGUCUUCGGAUCGUAAAACCCUGUUGUUAGAGAAGAAAGUGCGUGAGAGUAACGGUUCAAGUUUCGACGGUAUCUAACCAGAAAGCCACGGCUAACUACGUGCCAGCAGCCGCGGUAAUACGUAGUUGGCAAGCGUUAUCCGGAUUAAUUGGGCGUAAAGGGAAGGCAGGCGGUCUUUUACGUCGGAUGUAAAAGCCUUCGGCUUAGACGGAGUAGUGCAUUGGAACCUGGUAUACUUGAGUGCAGAAGAUGCGAGUGGAACUCCAUGUGAAGCGGUGAAAUGCGUAGAUAUAUGGCAGAACACCAGUGGCGAAAGCGGCUCUCUGGUCUGUAACUGACGCUGAGGUUCGAAAGCGUGGGUAGCAAACAGGAUUAGAUACCCCUGUAGUC